Carica papaya (papaya) is the source of this 1470-nucleotide non-coding RNA. NCBI's taxonomy places the organism in Eukaryota, Viridiplantae, Streptophyta, Magnoliopsida, Brassicales, Caricaceae. The record is from RefSeq and is a predicted model, not a curated record.
UUCUUUGUGUUUUGGGAGGUAGGGUUUAUAAAUUCAUCAUUAACCCCAAGGGAUAGAACGCGCCGCUUCCCAGUAAGUCUGCACGUGGCUGUGGUUUCAUAUAAUCUUACAACAGAGAUGGAUGCUAUGAAACCUGUUGCGAAACAGCUAGAGAAAGAAGACGACGACGACGACGAUGAAGAUGAAGGAAGCAUCACGCAUCAUGAAGAUGCAGUCCUUCCGUCGAAUCAGUAAUUAACCAAAACCAAAAUAAUCUUGCUUCGUCUCUUGGUUGAGCCUCCUUUUCAGCGAUCUCCACCUUGUAGGUAUCAAAUGUAAUCUUCGUCAACUACAACCGGAAAACGCCAACUCUGGAGAAUCCUCCUCGAUCUCCUUUUGACAGUCCUCCUCUUUUCCUCAUCCCCGGCUACUUCAUCACCUCACUCCUCAUCGGCCAAGAAUUCACAUUUCCUCUCCUCAAUCCUCAAUCCUUUAUUGUUGUUGUUGCUGUAGUCGACAUUCUGGUGGUUGUUUCCCGCUCCACCAAUCGGUGCCUUACACGCUGACCGCCUGGUUCUCAGAUUCCAUGGCCUCACCUCUUCAGCCGCAGCAGGGGAUUCUUCUCUUUCUUUCUUCUUGCUGCAUAUCUUGCUGCUGGCUCUGUCAUCGAGGUAGCAGAGAGGGUUGCCAAAAAGGAGUUGGAUUCUGCCUUUGCUAUCGUUAGGCCUCCAGGGCAUCAUACCAAAGAAGAUGAAGCUAUGGGGUUCUGUUUAUUUAAUAAUGUGGCUAUUGCAACACGUUUUCUAUUAAAUCCAAAUUUGGGUCUAAACGAAAUCUUGAUUGUUGACUGGGAUGUUCACCAUGGUAAUGGUACUCAAGAAACAAUCUGGAAUGAUCCUCGUGUUCUGUUCUUCUCUGUUCAUAGGCAGAAAGACGCCCUUCGUAAGCGUCCACCUUGGAAUGGAAUGCAGAAAACCUCAGAGACUGUUGGGAUGCCAAAUCUUUAUAUUAACAAGUUUGUAGGACCUGAGAUUUGAUAUUUGCCUGGUGAAAGUUUUCCUUGAGAAUGCAAGAGGUAGAGAUGGUCAACUUCACUAAUGCUUUUGCAUUCUUUAAUCUUUUUAUUUUAGAAAAAAGAGAAUGCAAAAGUAUUAGUGAGUUAACCAUCCCUACCAAAACCUUUUGGAAUGGUACUGAAGCUGAUGAUGUAAAGAAGUUUAAGAUUGUUGAGAAGUUAUUGGCAUUUCCAAGAGCAUCUGUACUGCUUAUUUUCAAUGAAAGAAUAAGUACUUAUAAUUUCUACUGCCUAUUUUUGACACUAUCAAGGGUUCCCAUGCUUGUACUUGAAUUUCUUAUGUUCCUAUUUAGGUUAAGAGAUGCCCUUGCCAUUCGUUAUUUGGUCUAGAGGUGGCUGGGUUAAAUUCUUUUCUUGUCGAAGUAUACAAUUUUUUUGUUUCUAUAAAGUGUCCUGCUUAUCAUUGGGAAUGAUCA